This is a non-coding RNA of Phrynosoma platyrhinos (Desert horned lizard), 70 nucleotides long. NCBI's taxonomy places the organism in Eukaryota, Metazoa, Chordata, Lepidosauria, Squamata, Phrynosomatidae. The record is from the annotation of a GenBank genome assembly.
GUGUGGCUAGUGUAGUGGUUUGAGCACUGGACUAUGACUGGAGACCAGGGUUCAAAUCCCUGCUUGACCC